UGGGGAAUAUUGCACAAUGGGCGAAAGCCUGAUGCAGCGACGCCGCGUGAGGGAUGACGGCCUUCGGGUUGUAAACCUCUUUCAGUAGGGACGAAGCGCAAGUGACGGUACCUGCAGAAGAAGCACCGGCUAACUACGUGCCAGCAGCCGCGGUAAUACGUAGGGUGCGAGCGUUGUCCGGAAUUACUGGGCGUAAAGAGCUCGUAGGCGGUUGGUCACGUCGUCUGUGAAAUCCUAGGGCUUAACCCUGGACGUGCAGGCGAUACGGGCUGACUUGAGUACUACAGGGGAGACUGGAAUUUCUGGUGUAGCGGUGGAAUGCACAGAUAUCAGGAAGAACACCGAUGGCGAAGGCAGGUCUCUGGGUAGUAACUGACGCUGAGGAGCGAAAGCAUGGGUAGCGAACAGG
RNAcentral lists this ribosomal RNA (409 nucleotides) under bacterium. RNAcentral's name for it is "partial 16S ribosomal RNA". It matches the Rfam family "Bacterial small subunit ribosomal RNA", at positions 355 to 776 of the family's 1533-position model. The record is from RNAcentral.